CCACCCAAACAAAAACCAGACUCUUGAUUCUUGCUCUCUCUCUCUCUCUCUCUCUCUUUUACGGACGACUCACCAUCACUUUACCCCCCCAUCACUAACCGUUGAUCUUCCACCGUCAAUCUUCCACCAUUGCACACUAUCACCACCACUGCCGUUGCUUGCCUCGCAGCUCCUCGCCUUGCCUCGCAUUACAUCGUUUCAAGAUUGAGGUCAAGCAAGAGUCACACCAUGUUUGGGUGUGCAAAGCAACAGGGGAUUGUGUAUAGAUCUCUGAAGGAUAUAUUGGGUGAAGGAGAUGAAGAAAAUGUAGGAGUUGGAACAUAUGUUCAAGCCACUGUCUUGGAGAUAUACAAGGAGUGGAGGACUAAGUAUUAGGUGGUUUAAGGGAAGUGCUUCCAAGGUAAAAACUACUAUUUUUCUUGAAAUUAUAAUGAUUUUUUUGUUAGGUUUUAGAUGCUCGUAUAUAUAUUUAAGGAUAGUACUAUUGAUAGACAUGAUGAAUUUGAAAAUCUAAGUUGGGGGUGUUUGUGAGAGUGCCCGGUUUUAUGGACAUACUUUGCUUGAAUUUGGAUUGUGUUUGUUUGAAGUUGAUAAGAUAUAUGUUCCCAAUGUUCCCAAAGCAGCAGAGUCUAAGCCUAGGGCAACUGAGUCUGAGCCUAGGGCAUCAGAGCAACUUCAACAAAAACAGCUUCAACAAAAGCAAUCUCAGCAGCCUAUACAGCAAUAGCCUGUGCAGCAGCAACAACAACAAUCUAUACAGUAGCAACAGCAGUAGCCUAUGCAACAACAAUAGCAGCAGCCUACUCUGAUGCAGUUGCAAUAUGUUCAAACAGAGCAAGUCAAGGCAUCCAAAGCUGCUCAUCUCAUGUAUACGACUGUCAUGUAUAAUAAGUCACAGAAUUGUAAAGAUAGAAAACACCAAGAUGGCUAGAUAGUUUGUUAGAGAGUUGGUUAUAACCAACUCAGUUAUACAAAGUGUAUAUAUAUAGUAGUAUGUACUCUGCUUAGCUUUUCAAUGAAGUUUAUCUCUUUCUUCA
Camellia sinensis is the source of this 1037-nucleotide non-coding RNA. The record is from RefSeq and is a predicted model, not a curated record. NCBI's taxonomy places the organism in Eukaryota, Viridiplantae, Streptophyta, Magnoliopsida, Ericales, Theaceae.